This 1953-nucleotide unclassified non-coding RNA is filed under the name Hevea brasiliensis (rubber tree). Lineage: Eukaryota; Viridiplantae; Streptophyta; Magnoliopsida; Malpighiales; Euphorbiaceae. The record is from RNAcentral.
GUUAUCUACAUAUUAAUUCUACUCAAUAAACUCCAUAACCCAUUCUUUUUCGUGUUUCACGUUGUUUGUUUCAAUAUAUAAGGAGAAGAAAAUAACUCAAUUGGGUAUUUACAAUUGAGAAAGUGUGAUCAGUGAGUUGAAAUCAGUUGGAGUUUGAGUUAGAGCUUAUAAGUGUGUUGUAUGUUGCAAUCCGUUGGACUUUGAGUCUACAUAGCAGAGCAGUUUUGUUUGGUCAAAACUAAUUGAACUCUCUGUUUUCUUCUAUAAAGAUGGCAGAUAAACCACAUCAAGUAUUUGAGGUUUAUGGUGAAUCGAAAUGUUUUGAUGACGAUGGUCGUAUCAAAAGGACUGGGUCUGUUUGGACGGCAAGUGCUCACAUCAUAACUGCUGUGAUAGGAUCAGGAGUUUUAUCAUUGGCUUGGGCUACUGCUCAGCUUGGAUGGGUAGCUGGGCCAACUGUAUUGCUACUUUUCUCCUUUGUUACUUACUAUACCUCUGCUUUGCUUUCCGAUUGUUACCGGACCGGUGAUCCAGUUACCGGAAAAAGAAAUUAUACUUAUAUGGAUGCUGUUCGAGCCAAUCUAGGUGGAUUUCAGGUUAAGAUUUGUGGUGUGAUUCAGUAUGCAAAUCUUUUUGGAGUUGCAAUUGGUUAUACCAUAGCGUCUUCCAUUAGUAUGGUGGCUGUGAAUAGGUCUAAUUGUUUCCAUAAACAAGGUCAUCAUGCUGCUUGCAAUGUUUCAAGUACUCCCUAUAUGAUCAUGUUUGGUGUGAUGGAAAUUAUCUUCUCACAAAUCCCGGAUUUCGAUCAGAUUUCUUGGCUUUCGAUUGUUGCUGCUGUUAUGUCGUUUACUUACUCUACAAUUGGUCUUGGCUUAGGAGUUGCUCAAGUUGCAGAAACAGGAAAAAUUGAAGGAAGUUUAACUGGGAUUAGCAUUGGAACUGAAGUAACUGAAAUGCAGAAGAUUUGGAGAAGCUUUCAAGCUCUUGGAGCUAUAGCUUUUGCUUAUUCCUACUCCCUAAUCCUUAUCGAAAUUCAGGAUACACUCAAAUCACCACCAGCAGAAGCAAAGACAAUGAAAAGGGCAACACUAAUUAGUGUGGCAGUUACAACAGUAUUCUACAUGCUUUGUGGUUGCUUUGGGUAUGCAGCAUUCGGAGAUCAAUCCCCUGGAAACCUACUAACAGGAUUCGGAUUCUACAACCCCUAUUGGCUUCUUGACAUCGCGAACAUAGCCAUCGUUGUUCACCUAGUAGGUGCAUACCAAGUUUACUGUCAACCCCUUUUCGCCUUUGUUGAAAAAACAGCAGCUGAAUGGUACCCUGACAGCAAAAUCAUAACAAAAGAAAUCGAUGUCCCAAUCCCGGGAUUCAAACCUUUCAAGCUCAACCUUUUCCGUCUAGUCUGGAGGACAAUAUUCGUGAUCAUCACCACAGUCAUAUCAAUGUUGAUGCCCUUCUUUAACGACGUCGUUGGCAUUCUUGGAGCAUUUGGAUUUUGGCCACUUACAGUAUACUUCCCAGUGGAAAUGUACAUUGUGCAAAAGAGAAUUACCAAAUGGAGUGCAAGAUGGAUAUGUCUACAAAUACUUAGUGGUGCUUGCCUUGUUAUCUCAAUUGCUGCAGCUGCUGGUUCUUUUGCUGGAGUUGUUUCUGAUUUAAAAGUUUACAGGCCUUUUCAGAGUUAAAAAACUAAAAUUAUUGUUGAUGUUCAUUAAAAGGAAAAAAAAACAAAAACAAACAAGGGCCUGAAGAGGUGUUGACAAGCCUGUUGUUGCUAUUGUGUAGGUUUUAAUUUGGCUUUUUUCUUUUUAGUUCCACAACAAAGAAAAAGAAGGCAGGUCCUUGUAUGUAUGUAUCUAUGUGGGAAGAAAAAAAGAAUCAAGUCUUUUUUCAAUUUAUGUAACAACUUUUAUUUCACUGCAAAGAGGAAAUAAGAAAUUGAAUCAAAAGUUU